Non-coding RNA from Gymnothorax javanicus (giant moray), 72 nucleotides. NCBI's taxonomy places the organism in Eukaryota, Metazoa, Chordata, Actinopteri, Anguilliformes, Muraenidae. The record is from the annotation of a GenBank genome assembly.
GCUGAUGUAGCCCAGUGGUUAGGGUGGAGCGCUGCUGCCUGGACUGCCAGGGAUCAAAACCUGGCACUGGCA